CUUUGUUGCUCUCAAAUCUAGCAAAAGGAAAAACCCUAACAACACUGCCGCCAUCUUCACUAACUCACUCACCACCACCACUGAGGAACAUAUUAGAUCUGUUAGAUGCAUAAAUCAAAAACAGCGAAUCAGUCUCAAAAUCCGCCUCCUCUUCAUUCACUCCUUUUACUGAUUUCUUUUUCUUCCUCACCCAUUCUCAGAUCUGUAACCUCAUCUCCUGUAAAUGGUUUCAGCAAAUAUAGAUCGGCUGAUACUCAUUAUUAAUCGUGUGAUUCUUAAUGUUUAUUAUUAAGAAACAAGAUAGAGCUAUAGUAUUGAAUUAAGACAUUAUUGUAGCAAUGGCUCCUCUGGGACUCACCAACAACAGAAGAAUUAUCAGAAUAUUUACAAGCAAUUAGAUGGGGGUUGGAUUCGUAAUGAGGUUUUUAACAAGAGGGUCAGAAGAGGACUGGAGAAUUUGAUGAGAAAACGGCCUUCAAAAAGGCUAAUGAUCCCCCUCAACAGUUGGUAGAAGCCAAACUGGAGGAACAAACCAGUACAUAGAGGAAUUGUUCAGUUUUUCCCAUUGAGCAAGCUCAUGUGCAACAAAAUUACAAUAAUGAGAAGCAUUUGAAGAGGCUUAAUGCGAUGCUCAAUAAACUUGGAGGCGCAUUUAGCAUACCGGAUUGGAUUCAAUGAGAUUGGAUAACGGUUGAAUGUUGCAAAUCGGAAUCUCGGUAUUGACAAGAUGUGGAAGGCUCCCCAGAAUAAAUAUUUUGUGCCCUGUGUUGAUCAUACUCCUAAGUAUUCAUGUAAAUAAGCUCAAUCUUUGUUGAAUAUACCUGUGUUUGCUUCUGCUGUGUAAAUUCAACGACACCAA
Papaver somniferum (opium poppy) is the source of this 859-nucleotide long non-coding RNA. RefSeq lists it as uncharacterized. The record is from RefSeq and is a predicted model, not a curated record. The transcript has 6 exons. Lineage: Eukaryota; Viridiplantae; Streptophyta; Magnoliopsida; Ranunculales; Papaveraceae.